UACGUAGGUGGCAAGCGUUGUCCGGAUUUAUUGGGCGUAAAGCGAGCGCAGGCGGUUCCUUAAGUCUGAUGUGAAAGCCCACGGCUCAACCGUGGAAGGUCAUUGGAAACUGGUCGACUUGAGUGCAGAAGAGGGAAGUGGAAUUCCAUGUGUAGCGGUGAAAUGCGUAGAGAUAUGGAGGAACACCAGUGGCGAAGGCGGCUUCCUGGUCUGUAACUGACACUGAGGCGCGAAAGCGUGGGGAGCAAACAGGAUUAGAUA
Molecule: ribosomal RNA, 261 nt
Filed under: uncultured prokaryote
Description: partial 16S ribosomal RNA
Rfam family: Bacterial small subunit ribosomal RNA
Source: RNAcentral